GCCAAAGGAGUUCUUUUUGGUGUGGCUUUGUGGAUUUCAGAUUUACUUUGAGGAUAUAUAGUCACAUGAAAUGGUAGGAGUUAGAAAAUAUGUAGCAGGAUUGGGGAUAUAGUUCAGGAGAUAGUGGAAGGGUCUUACUGUCCAUGACAAGGCCCUAGGUACAACCCCCAGCACUAGGGGAAAUGAAUAUGGCAUAAAUUUACUGUAGAUCAGGAUAAAGAACUAAAGAAUUGAAACAACCCUGUUGAUUUGUUGUGCUCAUUCCCCAUAGGACAAAACAAAAGCAUAUGCCUCCAGGAACAAAUGGAAGGCUGUUUAUUAGUCAGUUGCAACAACGUUGCUUGGCUUCUGAAUUUAGGAUAUCCUCAAGUAUGCUUUGAAAACUGACAUAAUGUGACAUAAUUUGUGUAAUAACCUCCAAAAAAUUCUGUCCCCAGAUUGUGACCUAGAUUUUGAUUUUGAUUAGUAUCUUACACAGUGUACAGAUCACUCUCUCACACCACCCCCAUCCCUGCCAAAAAAAAAAAAGAUAUAAUUUGGUAGCUUGUAUCUAAAAUAGUAAAUGUACCUUAAAAAAAAAAAAAAAAAAGGAAGGGAGUAGAUUUUUGAGCUGUUUAGCUCUGACUUGCCUCCAGUCUUCCUGUCUUAGAUACCCAAAUAGCUGGUUCCAUUUUGUUCUCCUAGUUUGCAGGUUACAUUUUGUUUAUGGACUUCAGUGUAUCUUUUAUUAAUGUUUAGAACAAGAAGGCAGAUAAUAUUGUUAAGGACUUCUUGUCUUUAAAGGGCAUCCCAGUAUAAACCCCUAGAGUGCUAGCUUCAUCAUUUUAUCUGUUAGGAUCCAUAAUAUAUUUUGUUUCAUAAUAUGGAAAUACAAAAAUCAAAGUGAAACUUUGGCUAAAGAGAGUAUCUAAACCAGACAGAAUGGGCAUAUUCAGGGCAGAUUUUUAUUUUUCCUUGAGUAAAGUAAGUAAAGUAAUAAACUUUACUUAAGCUUUGAUGUGGGAAAUGAUAAGAAAUAUUUUAUCAAUAGAUUAUAUACCGUAUACACAAAUACACAGAAGU
Molecule: long non-coding RNA, 1062 nt
Filed under: Mus musculus (house mouse)
Lineage: Eukaryota; Metazoa; Chordata; Mammalia; Rodentia; Muridae
Description: long non-coding RNA chr19:21660511-21661573
Source: RNAcentral